AUGAGAAUGUUGAGUGUUCUGUACCUGUUGUCAGCCCUUCCUGGUAUCCUGUCUGAUGUGCAGCUUCAGGAGUCAGGACCUAGCCUGGUGAGACCUUCUCAGACACUCUCCCUUACCUGCACUGUUACUGGCUUCUCCAUCAACAGUGAUUGUUACUGGAUCUGGAUCCGGCAGUUUCCAGGAAACAAACUGGAGUACAUCGGGUACACAUUCUACAGUGGUAUCACUUACUACAACCCAUCUCUUGAAAGUCGAACGUACAUAACGCGUGACACAUCUAAGAACCAGUUCUCACUGAAGUUGAGUUCUGUGACUACUGAGGACACAGCCACUUACUACUGUGCGAGAGA
This is a non-coding RNA of Mus musculus (house mouse), 350 nucleotides long. Lineage: Eukaryota; Metazoa; Chordata; Mammalia; Rodentia; Muridae. The record is from the annotation of a RefSeq genome assembly.